Molecule: ribosomal RNA, 252 nt
Filed under: uncultured soil bacterium
Lineage: Bacteria
Description: partial 16S ribosomal RNA
Rfam family: Bacterial small subunit ribosomal RNA
Source: RNAcentral
AGGACGAACGCUGGCGGCGUGCUUAACACAUGCAAGUCACGGGGGCCCGCAAGGGCAACCGGCGAACGGGUGCGUAACACGUGAGCAACCUGCCUUUGUGCGGGGGAUAGCCGGGCUAACGCCUGGGUAAUACCGCAUACGGUUCUCGAGGGGAGUCCCUUGGGAAAGAAACCUCCGGGGCACAGAGAGGGGCUCGCGGCCUAUCAGCUAGUUGGUGUGGGUAACGGCCCACCAAGGCGACGACGGGUAGCU